AUUGAACGCUGGCGGCAUGCUUUACACAUGCAAGUCGAACGGCAGCGGGGGCUUCGGCCUGCCGGCGAGUGGCGAACGGGUGAGUAAUGCAUCGGAACGUGCCCAUGUCGUGGGGGAUAACGUAUCGAAAGGUACGCUAAUACCGCAUACGCCCUGAGGGGGAAAGCGGGGGAUUCUUCGGAACCUCGCGCGAUUGGAGCGGCCGAUGUCGGAUUAGCUAGUAGGUGAGGUAAAGGCUCACCUAGGCGACGAUCCGUAGCGGGUCUGAGAGGAUGAUCCGCCACACUGGGACUGAGACACGGCCCAGACUCCUACGGGAGGCAGCAGUGGGGAAUUUUGGACAAUGGGCGCAAGCCUGAUCCAGCCAUGCCGCGUGAGUGAAGAAGGCCUUCGGGUUGUAAAGCUCUUUCGGCCGGGAAGAAAUCGCGCGCUCUAACAUAGCGCGUGGAUGACGGUACCGGACUAAGAAGCACCGGCUAACUACGUGCCAGCCGCCGCAGUAA
This 503-nucleotide ribosomal RNA is filed under the name uncultured bacterium. RNAcentral describes it as "partial 16S ribosomal RNA". It matches the Rfam family "Bacterial small subunit ribosomal RNA", at positions 28 to 523 of the family's 1533-position model. The record is from RNAcentral.